This 454-nucleotide ribosomal RNA is filed under the name uncultured Porphyromonadaceae bacterium. RNAcentral describes it as "bacterial SSU rRNA". It matches the Rfam family "Bacterial small subunit ribosomal RNA", at positions 341 to 792 of the family's 1533-position model. Lineage: Bacteria; Pseudomonadati; Bacteroidota; Bacteroidia; Bacteroidales; Porphyromonadaceae. The record is from RNAcentral.
ACGGGAGGCAGCAGUGAGGAAUAUUGGUCAAUGGGCGAGAGCCUGAACCAGCCAUGUCGCGUGCAGGAAUACGGCCCUAUGGGUUUUAAACUGCUUUUGCCUGGGGAUAAAGUGGCGGACUUGUCCGUUAUUGCAGGUACCAGGCGAAUAAGGAUCGGCUAACUCCGUGCCAGCAGCCGCGGUAAUACGGAGGAUCCGAGUGUUAUCCGGAUUUAUUGGGUUUAAAGGGUGCGUAGGCGGGACGUCAAGUCAGUGGUGAAAUGGUGCGGCUCAACCGUAGCAUUGCCGUUGAAACUGGGGUUCUUGAGUGCGAAUGAGGUGGGCGGAAUGUGUCAUGUAGCGGUGAAAUGCAUAGAUAUGACACAGAACACCGAUUGCGAAGGCAGCUCACUGGGACGCAACUGACGCUGAGGCACGAAAGUGCGGGGAUCGAACAGGAUUAGAUACCCUGGUA